GAGAGAGGUAAGAUACUAACGAUAACUGCUAAUUUUCGCCCUCUUGGUUUAAUUCCAGGACUCACUCG
This 68-nucleotide transfer RNA is filed under the name Nothobranchius thierryi (Togo killifish). RNAcentral describes it as "tRNA-Ser". Lineage: Eukaryota; Metazoa; Chordata; Actinopteri; Cyprinodontiformes; Nothobranchiidae. The record is from RNAcentral.